UGAUAGCCUACACAGAUGUGACCCUUCAGGGA
This 32-nucleotide non-coding RNA is filed under the name Mus musculus (house mouse). The record is from RNAcentral. Lineage: Eukaryota; Metazoa; Chordata; Mammalia; Rodentia; Muridae.